GAGAGAGAGAGAGAGAAAGAGACGUUAAAUUGCUAUUUUUAGUUACUGAUUGAAGCAAACAUCUUCCUAGAUAAUGGCUACUUCUAGCUAGAAAUAAGGUUGUAUAUCUUAAAUAAUAAUUAUGCUAGCUUUACUAGGAAAAUCAAUAGAAAGAGAAUUUAUGAGAAACCCUUAAUCAAUAAAUGCAUAAAAAUAUUUUUCAAUUUUAUUUCCUUUUUUACACCAUUAUAACACUUCCUGAUGAAAUUAAUUCAUAAGAAAAAAAAAAUGGCCUUAUAUCGGAGGCUAUAAAUUGUCAAUUAAUAAUGUUGCUUAAUGCUAAUGUCAUGGUGUCACUUUGAUGGUAGCAUUCCAGACUUACAAAACAUGGCUUUCAUCUUCAACACAUUGUGUUGACUGUAUCAUUCAUGAUGAUGUGUGUUUUUGGGCUAAAACCAGUAAGGUUUAACUACAAUUAUCAAUAUUGCAGCAACUGAUCCUGCUUCAAGUA
RNAcentral lists this unclassified non-coding RNA (490 nucleotides) under Hevea brasiliensis (rubber tree). The record is from RNAcentral. Lineage: Eukaryota; Viridiplantae; Streptophyta; Magnoliopsida; Malpighiales; Euphorbiaceae.